Molecule: long non-coding RNA, 1379 nt
Organism: Photinus pyralis (common eastern firefly)
Lineage: Eukaryota; Metazoa; Arthropoda; Insecta; Coleoptera; Lampyridae
Exons: 3
Source: RefSeq, a predicted model, not a curated record
UUGAGAUCCCAUAGAAAUCCACUAAAAAAAUGUUGGGUGCCGGAUUACCGAGCGCCUACUACACUUAUUUCCGAACUACAGAAAGUAACAUAAAUAAAAAUGUCCGCUAUAUCUCAACAAAAUUUUGCCAACGGAAAUUCCACAAGGCAACGUCUCUAAAGAAUUGUUCUAAGAAUUACCCACGUAAAAAACUGUAGCUUAAUGUCAGCUGAAUAAAGUUAUACACCAUGUAUUACUAAACAGAAUUUUAACUCGUCCAUCCAAAGCUUACACAAGUUGUUGCAUUUUUUUUUCAUUGAAACAGGAAUGUGUAUAGGAUUCUCAACGAACGGAAAUACCAUCAAACCGCAGAUAUGUUUCAGAGUUCCGGUGCAAAGUAGAAAAGUUAAACGGUUUUUAGUAUAUCAAUGGAAUUUCCGGUUGCCACUUAAUAGAGGUAGGUGAUAUUUUAUCUUAUCAUUUUAUUGUUAUUAUUGCAUGAUGUCAUGCCAAUUGGAUGUGUAAUCAUGCAAUGACGUAGCCAAUUUUUAAUAGUAUGUUACGUAUUACAUUUCAUUACGUAAUUCUUAAAAAAACUGAUAAUUAUACAGCAGGUGGGCUUAGAGAACCCACCUGCACAAUGAAAGUCAGUUUUUAAACCACUGCUACUCUGUUCUUUUCAGUUUCUCUAUUCCUUUAUUAGCCUUACGUAAUCAACGGCCGUUUCCUACUAAUACACUUCCUUUCAGAAAAAUAAAAAAAAAUUAACGUAAUUAUCUACCGAAGACUUUAGUCAUUUUUAGUCGCUUAAUCCCAUCUUUUCCAACGCUCUGUAUAUUCCAUCUCUGAUGUUAAUUUUAGUAUUGGCAUAUUAAAAUCUAUACGGGAACGCAAAUACAUAGAUACCUACCUACCGGUAUUGGAUUCGAAACUGGCAGUCUCGAGUUCUUCAACACAAAAAAGGAUGUUGAUGAUUCUUUACAUUAUGGUGGCUCAUUAUUGAAAAUUGAUUUAUUUUUUGUGAUCUGUGUGCCACUUACACGAAAGCAGGAACUUCCUUAUUAUUAUUUUUUUAUUGUAGCUUUCUAUAAUUGCGCAUUCAAAAGUAACAAGAAUAUACAGGAUGUUCUAUUGAAAAAAAAUUGUUGCAAUUUCCGAAUAAACCGCAGUAUUGUAUAUGCAAGCCAUUCGACAACUGUCGGGAAAUCCUGUCGGUUGAGAUUCCUAGUUCAUUGGCGUUGUAGUAUCAUGGAUGAAUGGGAUGCGUGUUUGCUAUCAACAACUUUAAGUUUCCAAAAGAUCCACGGCGCUUAGUUUUUGCCGAAGAAAAAUGAGAAAUAAACAUUCUUUCGAAGACGAGCAUCCUUCCCAAAAAAAUUGCAUUGUCUAUUUUUUUUUUA